This 477-nucleotide ribosomal RNA is filed under the name uncultured bacterium. Its description in RNAcentral is "partial 16S ribosomal RNA". It matches the Rfam family "Bacterial small subunit ribosomal RNA", at positions 30 to 507 of the family's 1533-position model. The record is from RNAcentral.
AUUGAACGCUGGCGGCAUGCCUUACACAUGCAAGUCGAACGGUAACAGGUUAAGCUGACGCGUGGCGAACGGGUGAGUCAUGUAUCGGAACGUGCCCAGUCGUGGGGGAUAACUCCUCGAAAGAGCAGCUAAUACCGCAUACGACCUGACGGUGAAAGCGGGGGAUCGCAAGACCUCGCGCGAUUGGAGCGGCUGGUAUCAGAUAAGGAAGUUGGUGAGGUAAAGGCCUCCCAAGCCGACGAGCUGUAGCUGGUCUGUAUGAACGACCAGCCACACUGUGACGGAGACACGACCCAGACUCCUACGGGAGGCAGCAGUGGGGAGUUUUGAACAAUGGGCGCAAGCCUGAUCCAGCCAUGCCGCGUGCGAGAAGAAGGCCUGCGGGUUGUAAACCGCUUUUGUCAGGGAAGAAAAGGUUCUGGCUAAUACCUGGGACUCAUGACGGUACCUGAAGAAUAAGCACCGGCUAACUACGUG